GACGAACGCUGGCGGCGUGCUUAACACAUGCAAGUCGAACGGAAAGGCCCUGCUUUUGUGGGGUGCUCGAGUGGCGAACGGGUGAGUAACACGUGAGUAACCUGCCCUUGACUUUGGGAUAACUUCAGGAAACUGGGGCUAAUACCGGAUAGGAGCUCCUGCUGCAUGGUGGGGGUUGGAAAGUUUCGGCGGUUGGGGAUGGACUCGCGGCUUAUCAGCUUGUUGAUGGGGUAGUGGCUUACCAAGGCUUUGACGGGUAGCCGGCCUGAGAGGGUGACCGGCCACAUUGGGACUGAGAUACGGCCCAGACUCCUACGGGAGGCAGCAGUGGGGCAUCUUGCACCCUGGGCGGAAGCCUGAUGCAGCAACGCCGCGUGCGGGAUGACGGCCUUCGGGCUGUAAACCGCUUUCGCCUGUGACGAAGCGUGAGUGACGGUAAUGGGUAAAGAAGCACCGGCUAACUACGUG
This 468-nucleotide ribosomal RNA is filed under the name uncultured bacterium. RNAcentral's name for it is "partial 16S ribosomal RNA". It matches the Rfam family "Bacterial small subunit ribosomal RNA", at positions 28 to 507 of the family's 1533-position model. The record is from RNAcentral.